RNAcentral lists this ribosomal RNA (557 nucleotides) under uncultured Alphaproteobacteria bacterium. Its description in RNAcentral is "bacterial SSU rRNA". It matches the Rfam family "Bacterial small subunit ribosomal RNA", at positions 32 to 639 of the family's 1533-position model. The record is from RNAcentral. Lineage: Bacteria; Pseudomonadati; Pseudomonadota; Alphaproteobacteria.
AACGCUGGCGACAUGCUUAACACAUGCAAGUCGAACGCUAUUUAUAGAGUGGCGCACGGGUGAGUAACGCGUGGGAAACUGCCCUUCUGAGUGGGAUAACGUUUGGAAACGAACGCUAAUACCACAUACGCCCUACGGGGGAAAGGUCCGCCGCAGAAGGAGGUGCCCGCGUCCGAUUAGCUUGUUGGUGAGGUAAUGGCUCACCAAGGCGACGAUCGGUAGCUGGUCUGAGAGGAUGAUCAGCCACACUGGGACUGAGACACGGCCCAGACUCCUACGGGAGGCAGCAGUGGGGAAUAUUGGACAAUGGGGGCAACCCUGAUCCAGCAAUGCCGCGUGUGUGAUGAAGGCCUUAGGGUUGUAAAGCACUUUCACUGGUGAAGAUUAUGACGGUAACCAGAGAAGAAGCCCCGGCUAACUUCGUGCCAGCAGCCGCGGUAAUACGAAGGGGGCGAGCGUUGUUCGGAAUUACUGGGCGUAAAGGGAGCGCAGGCGGUUCAUUUAGUCAGACGUGAAAGCCCCGGGCUCAACCCGGGAGGUGCGUUUGAUACUGGUGA